GCCGCGGUAGCCCAACCUGGUAGAGGCGCUGCAUUCAGAGUGCAGAGGUUGCGGGUUCGACUCCCGCUCGCGGCA
This 75-nucleotide transfer RNA is filed under the name Pyxidicoccus parkwayensis. RNAcentral's name for it is "Pyxidicoccus sp. SCPEA002 tRNA-Leu". It matches the Rfam family "tRNA". Rfam says of the family: Transfer RNA (tRNA) molecules are approximately 80 nucleotides in length. Their secondary structure includes four short double-helical elements and three loops (D, anti-codon, and T loops). Lineage: Bacteria; Pseudomonadati; Myxococcota; Myxococcia; Myxococcales; Myxococcaceae. RNAcentral also lists the same sequence under 3 other names. The record is from RNAcentral.